CAGAGGGACUGGGAGGACACCCAAAGGGGAGCUGAGUGAGGAGACACAGAGCUGCCAGGAGAACGUCUCCUUUACUGUCCCCUAUCCUUUCGGUAUUUGAUUUGAAGAUAUUUUUACAGAUGAAUUUUUGUAUAAAACCAUACAUUGGUUCUUCAAUCUUUUAGGUUUUCAACUUUCAUCAGGUGAUAAUAAGAUUAAGCAGCAGUUGUCAUCCCAAAAGAUCUUCUGAUUAGAAGCCUUUUGAGUCCAGAAAAUAACCAUUUUGGAUACGUGACUGUCGAGCACAGCCCUGCUCAUUUAUGCAACAAGUGGACAAUAUUUUGAUAACUUACCAUGCUGCACAGAUUUCUGAGACAUCAGGACUCAAGGGCCUAAGACCACUCUCUGUCCCUCAUCCUGUUGUCACGGAGAGGUUCUGCCUCUCUUCCUUGAUGAAGACAGGAGCCUGGCUGGACACAGCUGGCACCCGCAUGUUCCUGGACACAGCUCUUGGAUCUUCCCAAUUCUUGAAGACGCCUGCAAAACUCAUAAGAACAGAAAAUGUAAAGAGAUUUUCUGAAUUACUGAGUCCCAUCCUACGGUGCUAAAAGCAACUCUACAGAAUCCCUUUGAUAAAUGUCUCAAGCUCCAGCAAAACCACACGGACAAGAUGAUUAAAGAAGCUCUAACACAUAAGAGACAGCUUGAAGCAGCAGCAAAACCCUAGGUCUGGAUCUUUCUGCUAGAUGAAGGCUGAUUCUUGAUGGAAUCUGGCUCUUCAACCUUACUGGAGGGCAGCAGAAGAACAACAUGGCAUACCCUAGAGCUGCAGUGAGGAUCUGGUUUUGUAAGGCCCAGAACAACACCAUCAGGAACACUAUCAGGAACCAAGGUAUAAGCCAAGCAAGAAGACUAAAGAGUGUUUCAACAAACCCUGUGGCGUACUGUUCUGAAGAUGAGCUAUGAUGACAGUUAGGCUGAGGAAGGGAAAACAUUUUCUUCUAAUUUUCAGAGCAGCCACAGAACUGUUCCACUGUUACUGCAGACAAUGAUCAAUAUACUUGCAUAACAAAGAGGUAUUAAAAGGAAAGAGAGGAUGCCUCAUUUUCCACUUUGGUUCUUCUCCUACACAGCCUUGAAAAGGACACUAAUACUUUUCAGUCUUUCAGGCCAUUAAGGAACUGUAGAUAAGCUCAGGAAGACCUGUAAAUGAUUUCAACUUAUUUCACAUCAGUAUCUGACACCAAGAUACUCAAAAUAAAAUUCUACAUCCAAAGCAAAAUUAAUGAUAUAUUUUGCUGAGCAAAACAGAAGAGCACAAAUUAAUUUCCUUCAUCCUCAAGUAAACAAUUUACAGCUGAAAAGGAGGUCUAGAGAAGACACAAGAAACAAAGAUUCAAGUAACAGGCGCUACAAGUGAAGAAAAAGUUCUAGCUGGCACACACGUCAGCAUUUGUGCAAGAAAUGAAAGAACAUAUUGUCCUACUGCAUGGGUUCUCAGGCUUCAGUCUGCUCACUCUAGCGGCAAGGAUGCUCUUCUGCUGGCCGGCCCUCAAAUGGAGGAUUCUUCUACUGACACAACAGUUCCAUACUUAUAAGGAGUUAGCAGAGGCUUUACUAAUUAAAAUCAAACUUAAUUGUCAACUUUCAAACUCAGUCAUCAACUUUGCAACAUCUGUGGCUGCUUCAUGUCCUCCUGUGACUGAAAAUCAUAGGAUAUACAUUCAAGACAGAGAAAAAAGACAUGAUAGACUUCAGAUCCUCUUUAUUCCAGGCUGUUACCCACCUGAAACGAAUGACAUAAAAUCUCAGUGAAAGGAAAUACAGCGACUGGACUUGAAAUGAGCUGUAACUUGAUGAUCCAGUUCCCUUCAGAGCAGGCUGGGAUUCCCAAAUGCUUCAUGGUUCAGUACACAGACAGAAGUGAAGGAACUUCUUCUGAGUAAAAUAGCUAAUAUGUUAAUUGUCAUUGAUUCAGUAAUAAUUUAAACCCAAAUCUCUUAAAUGAGGUCUAUGUAGAAAAAAAUAAUGUGGCUUACUGAAAAAGAGAACUUGUACCUUCACAGUUCAAAAACCAUUUUCAACCACAAUGAGAGUUCCCUUUUUUGGUUACCACAAGUGGUUUCGCAGUAAGUGGACUGGUUUUCUACAGGCCCAGCCAGAAAGGGUGCUGAGGGAAAGGGAGCCUUUCCUUUUCUCUUUUGGUCUGUUCUUCUGCCGCCCUGUUAACAUACUCCGAGUGUGGUGACACUAAUCACACAUUCACAAUUGUGAUCUCCCCCAGCCAUGUUUAUGUGGUUGCUGCAGUGAUGUUUGUGCCUGUACCAUACUGUUUCACUUGCCAUUGAAGAUGAGAUUGAAGACAGAAGUUAGUUAGGAUUUAUUUUUCAUUUUUAAAUUUCAUUUCCCUUUAAUCUUGCUUGCUAUUCAGUGUAAUCAACUGUUGCCUCAUGUUAUAGAAAAUAAGAGAACCACACUGUAUGACCUGAGGGAAAAAAAUCAAGAUUUGAGAAACACAGUGCUGCUAAAACAAACAAACAAACAAACAAACCAUACAUAAAUCCCCGGAGAACUAAUUUAUUGCAUUCAGACUGUUCAGAAAUUCAAAAAAACUCUGAAAUAUACAACAAUUCGUGGCUCUAGGGAAAGAAAUAGAAACUCUUCCUUACCUUUUUUGCAUCAUUUUCUAUUGCAGAACAUUAUUUCUGAAAUCGGGUUAAUAUUUAAGGUCUGAAACUCAACAUAACUUUAGACUAGUUAUGGAAUGCAAUUUUCAGCCUGAAAAAAAAAUACUGAGAGUUGUAACAGUCCACAUUUAAAGACAAACUUCAGAGAGACAAAAUUUCUGUGAAAGAUAAGUCUGCCAAGGAUCAUCAAAUCUGUUUAUUAAAUAUGCAUCUAUAUUUCAAACCUGUAAAAUCACGCCACUUAUUUAUAUUGAUAUGAGUACGUCACUUCCAAUGUACUUGUUGUGAACUGGCAUCAUUGAGGAAUAGAAAAAUACAAAUUAGUAGCUGCUUCCCACAUGUUUAGAGGCAUCAGGAGUGGGCAACGCAGUUUGAAGCUUCGUACUACAGUAGAAAAUUCAGAGGAAAGCUUAGGAUAAACAAUGACAGCAAUUUCUCUAAGAGGUCAGAAAGAGCACUGCAAUUUCUUCAAAAUAUAGUCAGAUAAUUCUGGUUGGUGGUUUUGCUCAAUAGAAUUUUGCUUGAAAUUGGAUAUUUUAUGCAGGAAUAGCAGCUUUUUGCUGAUAUUACUGCAAAUGUAAAUACUAAAGGCAUAAAUCUAUUUCUCUUUGAGUCCCUCGUACUCAUCACCAGAUAGUGAUAUUUCCAUUUCACCUCAGGACUCACUGCUUUGCUGUGAUACAAAAACAGAAACAGCUUUUGCAUAAUUAAUGAAACACAAGAUCUGAAAAUAGUCCUUUUUUCUUCCCUUUCCUGUCUACCCCAUUAAAAAACCAAACAAAACCCAAACAAUAGAGCCUGAAAGUUGAAGGCCCUUAAGAAUAGCUACAAGCCAGCUGGUGUCAGAAGAACAGCAUGAAGCAAAAAGCAUCACAACUAAAAUCAGGACUCUGUUUGAAUGGAAGGAUCUACACCGUGAGGAACAAAUAGGAAAAGUUACCAGAAAUGAGGAAAAGAGCAACAAAUGCAGCGGGGCAGAGAUAUGAGGAGAGUACCAGUACUGGUGAAAUGUGCAUUAUAUUUUUAGCUAUUUACACUGUAACCACCAAGACAGGUACUUACAUUUCACUGAAACAGGCUCUGGCUAUAAAAUAAUUGUUAUGCAAGGGGAAAAAAAAAAGUGCUUUGUAAAGUGCUUCCAUGUGUUUUAUCUCUUUACAUACAUUUUCAACAAACGGAAUGCUGCCAAUAUUCCUUAGCUAAAAUAUUUCCCCUUCUACUAAAAUAUGCACAUACUUACAUAGUAAAGAAAUGAAGACUGAAGAACCUACAACUGAUAAAAAUGCUUUGAAAGUAUGGAUUCCUAUUGUUUGUUCUUUCUUUACAGUAAAGACCCAUGCCACUUCUGUGAAAGCUUCAUGCCGAGUCCUGUAUAUGCAUAUACAUUUUUUUUUUUGCUGAAAGAUUGGGAUUUUCCACUACUCAUUCUUCCUUCUGUUUUAGGACAUAGUUACAUGCUCUUUUAAGUAUGGGAAAAGGGGCUGCCAUCUGUUUCUGCCUGACCUUUUGGAAGAUAUGAAGUCAGCAGAGCUUCAUACAAAGAUUUGUGUUCACAGGUUUUCCCCUGGUGUUUCUCUAGUUCCCUUCCUCCUGUGCUUCUUCAGUUCUUCUAAUACAAAGCAUAUCAGCAUGGGGGUGUUGCUUUGUCUUCCAGAUGGACAAUUGAUUUAUCAGAGGAGGUAAAACCAACAUAUCACAGAAUUGUAGCUGUAGGAAGGGACCUCUGGGGAUCAUCGAGUCCAACCUUCUGCUAAAGCAAGUUCCCUCACAUUUGUAUGGUACUUCCCGUGUUCCACUUUGUGCCUAUUGCCCCUUGUCCAGGUUCUGCACAACACUGAAAAAAAGCCCCAUCCAUUUGACUCCCACGUUUCAGAUAUUUACAAAUAGUGAUGAGAUCCCCUCUUAGUCUUCUCUUCUCUGGGCUGAAUAGUUCCUGGUCUUUCAGCCUUUCCUCAUAUGGGAGAUGCUCCAGGCUCCUCCUCAUCUUCUCUCUCUAGAAGUUCCUUGUCAUUCUUGAGCUGAGGAGCCCAGAACUGGACACAGUACUCCAGAUGUGGCCUCACCAGGGCAGAGAGGGAGGAUCACCUCCCUCGACCUGCUGGCCACGCUCUUUUUAAUGCACCCCAGAAUCCCACUGGUGUUCACUUUUGUCCUCACGAAGCGUGAGCAUUUCUUCCACGCAGCCAAAGACAGCCUGGGCACACAGCAGCUGAGCUCAGUGUCUUUGAGCUUUGAAUGCCUUCAGCCUCCAUCUGUGCUGGAUACCGACACGUGGGGUGAAGCAGGGCGAGAGAGCUCUGCUGCCAGCAGGCACUGCCUGUAAGUAGUGUUUCUUCCCAGCUCUGCUGCCAACAGGCACUGCCUGUAAGUAGUGUUUCUUCCCAGCAGCUUCCCCUGGGAGCUCACAGUUCCCACUGCCGCUUGCAGUGUUUUACCUCCAGCUGCACGGCAGUGCGAUGGCUGACACCCAUUCCUCCGCGCCCCCCCCUGUGUGACUGUGCAAAGAGAGGGAAUUGCUUCUGCACAGCAAGAACGCAUCAUUAACCCCCAACGUAAGCGUGUGGUAAUGCAAUUGAUAAUUUGCAUGGUGAACCACAAAGAGACAUUCUCCUUCCAAUGACAAAAGGUCACAAAGGUUUUUGAGUUACAAAUUAAACCACGCUUGACUCAAAACUGGACAGGAGCUCAGCUCCCGAGGUGCCGCACCACACGAAGCCGGGCUGCCCCGAGUCUCCACUGUGCUGUCCAACUUCACUUAACGUUAACGGCGUUUGCUGAGGGCUCCUAGCAGAGACCUCCUUUCUCCCCCAAGUGAAUGCUCCGUGGCCCCGCUCGUGCUUUACAGACCCGGGGCUGAGAGCUUUGCAGCCAGCGAGGGGCCCGGCCGGCUGACCCCGCGGCCUCAGGAGCACCGCAUCCCACUGUGUCUCUUCCUCAUUCCUGGCUCCUUCCUCUUCCUCCUGUCGCACUCCCCACCCCGCCGCAGCCGCCGGGCCGGCCGGGCAGGUAUUGAGGGCAGGGCUGGGCGGCUCUCCCCGACAGCUGGCGGGGCGAGGAGGGGCGGGAGCGGAAGGC
This is a long non-coding RNA of Gallus gallus (chicken), 5741 nucleotides long. NCBI's taxonomy places the organism in Eukaryota, Metazoa, Chordata, Aves, Galliformes, Phasianidae. The record is from Ensembl.